UUUUGGAAGUUUGUUAUUGGCCGGCAGUCGGUUCAAGUUCGCACAAUGUGUCUCUGAUGUCUCUGAUUUUUACUUGGCUUUGAUUAUGUUCCUUCCUUAAUUGAUUUUUCAGGCACUUCUGAGACAAUAUCGAAGAAAAACAAACAAACACAGUAUCCAGAAGAAAGUAGGAGACUCAAAGAAGAGGAACGUAAGAGACUCCAAGGGGGGCUGUUUGGACUUUCUGAUGAUUCGUCUGAUGAUGAGUCAAUGUUGACAGUAACUCCUUCUAAGACAUCAACAAUUUCGAAGGAAGAAGUGACUUCUGAACCUUCUGAGACAACAAUGUUGUUGAAGAAAAAAAUGACUUCAGCAUGACCCUAUGACAUGGAUGUCUGAGACCUCAGGCUCUUCUGAGACAAAAUCGAAGGAAAAAUGACAACAGUACCUCAGCUGCAUGAAGACGAACCGAUCCCUUAGGAUCUCUUAGGAGUGGGAGUGCUUAACGGAAAAAGACACCUAAACAGUCAAAUCAAAAGUUAAUUACAGUAUUGAAACAAUAGAGUAGUUGAAUCGAGAGCAAUAUGCUGUGAUAGUUGCAGGCGGAAACUGGAUGUUUCGAAAAAAAAUCAUUGUCGCCCCAGACGNGUANUUCGAGGACGACUAUAAAGAUUUGAGGAAUAUCCAGUUUUCAAGGGCAACAAACACAUUAAUUCUCAAGUUGCAAUCUGCUCUAUCGUUUUCAUUUAUUUUCUAAAGCGGCACUGUUAGAAAACCCUCAUCCAAUGAGAGGAGAGAGGAAAAUUUGUUGUUGAAUUAUAUAUGGAUACUCUCAUUCUCUCCAUGCGACUGAUUCGUCGGUUUCACCCAUCAAAUUUCUGAAGUUAAAACCGUUCAUUAAUACUAAAAAUAUGUAAGGCAUUCCACCACCUUUUCUACUGCGACCGUGGUAUUUGUUGGUUGCGAUUGUAAAUUUCCCUCCGCUCUCAUUGGUGGAGAGGUUCCAGUUUAAAUAUUGGGCGUUAUCAUGUGCCGUGAUAGUUGCCCAUUGAAACUCUAGUAGUCACCCUCACUUGAGAUAGCUGUAUAGCUUAAAUAAAAAUGUUUCCUUUUGAAAUUUUGCAUUUAUUGAACUGAGCUCAAAAUAGUUUUGAAAUAAUAUUCGCUAUUAAAGACACUCAAGCAUGUUUUUGCUCUUUUUUUCUUGUGCCAAUCUUAUUAGAAUAUUAGCAAACUCAUUAGCAUUUAAAAAGUGGGUUAUGCGAAUACGUUCUAGUGUCUAAACUAGGUAGAUUUUCACAGAGCAUAUUUAGAUUGUUUUGCCGACAACUUAAGACAAAAAUGAUGUUUUGUGCACUAUAAAAGCCUCGGACAAGGCAUGAAUCAGUCACCUCAAUAUUCAUUUUAUGAUAUUUUGUAGUUUGGAUGUACAAAAAUGUGAGUUAGAAACACACUUAGAGUAGGCUUCUUAUUUCGUAGUAAUGCUUAGUAGAAUUCAUACCUGUAUCGAGGUAUCAAGGAGCAAUUGUAGUAUCAUCAAGAAAUCUUCACCUUAUUAUAUUUCUAUAUCGUGUAGUGUUAACGAUUAAAAUAUUUCACAUUCAAAAAAAGAUAAAGAGAACCACGAUGUAUACAAUACAGCGGUACUUAGCUUGAAAACGUUGAGUACUCAGGAAUGUUGUGAUAUGCCUUGUUGGUCACUCAUCGUCGCUAUUGGGAGUUUUAUUAAUACGUACUGCAUGUUUUAGACCGCGUGACGUCCAGCUCCCAACAGUAGUGGAAAACAAAUCAAGAGCACUUUUUUAGAAUCGACGCGGAGACCACUAGACCAGUAGCAACAAAACAUUUUUAUCUUGUCCAGGAAUGCAUUAUGCAGCAUCAUAGUAUGCAGUACUUUUUCAAAUACCUUCAUAUUCAAUAUAGGUAGAGGUAAUCUUAGAUAUUCUAUAGGUUAGUAAGGUACACUAGUUUUUAUGAGCUACAACAACACAAUAAAAUUGUAUUUAUNCUAAAUCUUAUAAGUAAAACUUAGUACCAUAAAUGUGGUUGAGAUAAAUUUUAAUACAUAUUAUGAUAUUUGUAGUGUAAAGUAAAGCAUGUCUAGUAGUUUCCCCUCAGUUUAUCAUUGGUGAAAAUUAAAAUUGAUUAUGGGAAUGAC
This 2137-nucleotide long non-coding RNA is filed under the name Exaiptasia diaphana. RNAcentral describes it as "uncharacterized LOC114574635". The record is from RNAcentral. Lineage: Eukaryota; Metazoa; Cnidaria; Anthozoa; Actiniaria; Aiptasiidae.